RNAcentral lists this ribosomal RNA (323 nucleotides) under uncultured fungus. Its description in RNAcentral is "eukaryotic LSU rRNA". It matches the Rfam family "Eukaryotic large subunit ribosomal RNA", at positions 1 to 315 of the family's 3401-position model. The record is from RNAcentral. Lineage: Eukaryota; Fungi.
UUGAUCUCAAAUCAGGUAGGACUACCCGCUGAACUUAAGCAUAUCAAUAAGCGGAGGAAAAGAAACUAACAAGGAUUCCCCUAGUAACUGCGAGUGAAGCGGGAAGAGCUCAAAUUUAAAAUCUGGUGUGCCUCUGGUCACCCGAGUUGUAGUCUGGAGAAGCGUUUUCUGUGUUGGGCCGUGUAUAAGUCCCUUGGAACAGGGCGUCAUAGAGGGUGAGAAUCCCGUCUUUGACACGGACUGCCAAUGCUUUGUGAUGCGCUCUCAAAGAGUCGAGUUGUUUGGGAAUGCAGCUCAAAAUGGGUGGUAAAUUCCAUCUAAAG